CCCGGGCUUCUUCCGCCAACAUCUCCUCACUCGGCCGUCGCGCGCCCCAUCCCCUCCCCCCUCCGGGCUUAACUUCUUCUGGGACGCCGCUUCCUCUUCCGCCGAGCCCGUCCGCGCGCCCCGACGUAACAACAAGGAACGAAUCUUCCGCUCAAGAACAAGCGCGCAACUUACUAGAAACGAACGAGCCACAAGGACGACCGAGUUCCAAAAGGGGGCGGGGCCGAACGAGGAGCACCGGGAGGGGAGGGAAGGACGGCGCAGAAGGUGGUUGGAGGAGCCCGGCGUAAGGAUAACUGGCAGGAGCAAAACUAACCAAUCAGGAAACAGAAGCUCGCCAAUUAUUCAGGAGCCAGGACCUGCCACAGCUCUGCCUUAGGAAUUCGAGAGAGUGACAGCGGAAUUGUCCAACGCGGGAGGCUGAAGCGAGGAGCGUCAAGCCAAGCAGGUGAAAGAAGAUGAUUCUGUGAGUAUCGGAGUGGAAUGAGCGGACAGCCAACGGAGAGCGAGGAAAAGGCUGAAGACGAGCCUUGAGUGCCUGCGCGCUCGCUCGAGUCUGGAGUUGAUUCCAUGCGCUGUGUGGCCGUGAAGGUAGAGCAGCGAUUCUCUCUCGGGUUUCCGGAAUUCCUUGCAAGAAGAAAAAAUCAAUGAUUUCUGUUUAGUACGACUGAUUCUUAUCCAAGCAAAAGAUGAGCAAAAUAUUUGAAAGUGGUGCUAGCAAGAGGAAGAGACUUGAAAAUUAUACACUAAAACAGUUAAGCCCAAUCACUGCUUUCUUGCAUCAGUCACUGACAGAAGCAACAAGUGCCAGCAGUGAAGCAGAUACAUUGAUACUAACACAAGGAAAUCAGUGUGAUGGGGCUACCCAGCUAACUACUAGCAUUCAACCAGAAGAAAAACCUCCCUGAAACAGAAACAGCUAAACAGGACACGGAACAGCAAGCUGAUUUUUGAGGAAGCCGCCAUGAUGCUGGCUCAAAAUGAAAAUAUAGAAUUAAUUCAAGAGUGUCUUACUGGACAUGUAGAGAUUAAAGAGCCAUAAGAAAAUAAUGUGGACAAUCAGAAUUUUAAUCUCACACCUGGUAAAGUAGACCAAGUUCAAGAUAUUUUAGAUGUAGUUAUAGAUGAAACCAAAUUUAGAUCUGUGUAACAGAUGUUUGUUUGUGGACAGAAUUGUCACAUGAGGAAGAGAGAAGGGCCCUCUCAAGUUCAACAUUUUAAGGACCAUUUUCAAAUUCCAAGCAAAUGUACAAAAACCAGUCCAGCUUUUGCACAAAAGCUCUUUUUUAUUCAACAAAAGGCAAUGAAAAAACAUAUAGCCAAAAGUGGCUUGUGUAUUCUUCAUCAAAAGGCCAGAUUUAUUGCUUUGUCUGUAAACUCUUUCCAAACUUGCAUCUUCUGCUACAGCUUUAGCUUCUGAAGGGAUGAUGACUGGCAAAACUCCUAUCUCAUCCAGACUCAUGAAAACAUGGAGAAGCACAGGAAUGCCAUAUUGACCUAUCUAACAAGGAAGUGAGGGCAAGUGUUAACUUCAUAGCCAGAGGAACAAAUAAAAGCAGACCAGUAGUACUGGCAGCAUGUCAUGGAGAGAAAUUGUUGCUGUAAUAUGCACUCUUGCAGAAUGAGGCUUACCAUUCAGAGAAGACAAUGAACAAUUUGGAUCUCCAAAUAACAGCAAUUAUCUUGGUCUUUUACAACUAGUAGCAAAAUCCAUUUUUACUGGCUCAUAUCAAUCAGUAUGGAAAUUCCAGAUCAGGAAAUCCCUCUUAUUUGUCAAAUCUGUAUGUGAAAAAAUGAGUCCUCAUGGAAAAAAAAAGGUUAUGGAUGCAAUUCUGACUGAUGUGAAAAGGGUUCACCACUGACAUUUCACAUACUGAUCAGUUGACUUUAAUUAUCAGAUAUGUAUCACCUGAAGGUGGUUUAUCAAGUGAGAGAUUUUUAACUUUGUUUGAGCUAAAAGACCACUCAGAGGAAAGCAUGGCUUUUUCAGUGUUUAGCUAUCUCACUACUGAGCUUGAAAUUGACUUUAGAAAACGUUGAGGGCAGUCUUACGACAGUAUCAUCAACAUGGCUGGUAGGUACAACAGUACACAGCAAAAAAAAUAAUCAACAAUUUGCAAGAUUUAUUCCAUGAGCUUGUCAUUCUUAACAUUUGGUAAGUUGUUUAGCUGUUGAUUGCUGCCUUGAUGCAGUGAACUGUUCUGGCAUUAUCAAUGAAAUUUAUACCUUCUUUUCAUCCUACACAAAGAGAUGGACAGUUCUAAAAUUAUUUUUGCAACAUCAGUCAAAAGUGCCUAUUUGUCAGACACUAGGUGGGAGGAACAUGCAAAAGCUACAGAAGCUAUUUUGGAAAGUUACAGUGCUAUCACUGAUGCCCUCAAUCAUUUGUACUCUGAUGUUAAUAGGAAGGGUGAUAACAGAUUUCAAGCUAACAAUCUUUUGCAGAAAAUGGAAGAACUGGAAUUUGUGUUUAUGCUGCAUUUUUGGACCUAUGUGCUAGGUGAUUUUUACAGGGUCUGCCAAGCCAUUCAGAGAUCAGAACUGUUCUUAAGAACUUGUGCAAGUUUGUACAGUUCACUUCAGUAUUUUUUAAAACAAAAUUAGAGAAGAUUUUGAUGAGCUUGAGCAAUAAGCAAAAGUCACCUUGCCAAACGUUAACUACAGGACAGUCACAAGGAGACAAAGACUAAAUAAACGGCAAGGAAAUGAUGGAAGUCACCAGGUACUGAUGCCUUAGAUGAACUUUCUUCAAGAGAUAAGUUUAGGAUGAAAUCCUUUAUUCCUAUACUACAUGCAUUUUAAGCCAGUUUAAGAAGAGCUAUAGUGUACAGUGAUGUUGCACAAAUGUUUUGCUUUCUUGCUAAUCUGACAGCAUCUAAGGAAGAAAUUCUGCAAAGUGUUGAACUGUUGAUUGAAGCAUACUGAGAAGAUGUCGACCUGAAAUUUAGUGAUGAACGUUUGCACUUUCACAUGUAUGUGAGACAAAGCCAUAGGUCUACAGAAGAGCACACUCUGUCUCAAAUUAUAUACAAGAAAUCGUUCAGAUGGCCUUCCCUAAUGUGGAAGCAGUUUUGCGGCUAUUUCUUAGCUUAAUGGUCACUUCUGCUUAGGAGAUAGAUCUUUUUCAAAACUCAAAAGAAUUAAAAAAUGAAUUUAGGGUUA
Sphaerodactylus townsendi is the source of this 3162-nucleotide long non-coding RNA. RefSeq lists it as uncharacterized. The transcript has 2 exons. NCBI's taxonomy places the organism in Eukaryota, Metazoa, Chordata, Lepidosauria, Squamata, Sphaerodactylidae. The record is from RefSeq and is a predicted model, not a curated record.